This 581-nucleotide ribosomal RNA is filed under the name uncultured bacterium. RNAcentral describes it as "bacterial SSU rRNA". It matches the Rfam family "Bacterial small subunit ribosomal RNA", at positions 331 to 929 of the family's 1533-position model. The record is from RNAcentral.
CCAGACUCCUACGGGAGGCAGCAGUGGGGAAUAUUGGACAAUGGACCAAGAGUCUGAUCCAGCAAUUCUGUGUGCACGAUGAAGUUUUUUGGAAUGUAAAGUGCUUUCAGUUGGGAAGAAAGAAAUGACGGUACCAACAGAAGAAGUGACGGCUAAAUACGUGCCAGCAGCCGCGGUAAUACGUAUGUCACGAGCGUUAUCCGGAUUUAUUGGGCGUAAAGCGCGUCUAGGUGGUUAUGUAAGUCUGAUGUGAAAAUGCAGGGCUCAACUCUGUAUUGCGUUGGAAACUGUAUAACUAGAGUACUGGAGAGGUAAGCGGAACUACAAGUGUAGAGGUGAAAUUCGUAGAUAUUUGUAGGAAUGCCGAUGGGGAAGCCAGCUUACUGGACAGAUACUGACGCUAAAGCGCGAAAGCGUGGGUAGCAAACAGGAUUAGAUACCCUGGUAGUCCACGCUGUAAACGAUGAUUACUAGGUGUUGGGGGUCGAACCUCAGCGCCCAAGCAAACGCGAUAAGUAAUCCGCCUGGGGAGUACGUACGCAAGUAUGAAACUCAAAGGAAUUGACGGGGGCCCGCACAAG